CAAUAUCGUAUAUUAAAGUUGUUGCAGUUAGAACGCUCGUAGUCGGAUUUCGGGGCGGGUCGACCGGUCUGCCGAUGGGUACGCACUGGCCGACGCGUCCUUUUUGCCGGAGACCGUCCCUACUCUUAACUGAGCGGGGUCGGGAGACGGCACUUUUACUUUGAAAAAAUCAGAGUGUUUCAAGCAGGCAGCUCGCUCUUGCAUGGAUUAGCAUGGGAUAAUGAAAUAGGACUUUGGUGCUAUUUUGUUGGUUUCGAACACCGAAGUAAUGAUGAGAAGGGACAGUCAGGGGCACUCGUAUUCCGCCGAGAGAGGUGAAAUUCUCAGACCAGCGGAAGACGAACCACUGCGAAAGCAUUUGCCAGGGAUGUUUUCACUGA
RNAcentral lists this ribosomal RNA (380 nucleotides) under uncultured eukaryote. RNAcentral describes it as "partial 18S ribosomal RNA". It matches the Rfam family "Eukaryotic small subunit ribosomal RNA", at positions 592 to 976 of the family's 1831-position model. The record is from RNAcentral.